This 65-nucleotide transfer RNA is filed under the name Percalates novemaculeata (Australian bass). Its description in RNAcentral is "tRNA-Cys". It matches the Rfam family "tRNA". From Rfam's summary of the family: Transfer RNA (tRNA) molecules are approximately 80 nucleotides in length. Lineage: Eukaryota; Metazoa; Chordata; Actinopteri; Centrarchiformes. The record is from RNAcentral.
AGCCUUGAGGUGUUUACAUAUUAGACUGCAAAUCUUAAGAAGCAGGUUAGCGCCUGCCUGGGCUU